ACAUCACCAUCAUCAUCCUGACUAGUCUUUCGGGAGGAUACGCCUCACUCUGGAAGACAACCAAAAACUCUUCCAGUGUUUGAUAAAAUAAAGAAUUCAAACCCUCGGAGAGCAACACUUCCGAGGGUUUUUU
This is a regulatory RNA element of Photobacterium profundum SS9, 133 nucleotides long. It matches the Rfam family "Histidine operon leader". From Rfam's summary of the family: At least 6 amino acid operons are known to be regulated by attenuation. NCBI's taxonomy places the organism in Bacteria, Pseudomonadati, Pseudomonadota, Gammaproteobacteria, Vibrionales, Vibrionaceae. The record is from Rfam.